UAUUUUAUAUGAGAGUUUGAUCCUGGCUCAGGAUGAACGCCGGCGGUGUGCCUAAUACAUGCAAGUCGUACGCACUGGCCCAACUGAUUGAUGGUGCUUGCACCUGAUUGACGAUGGAUCACCAGUGAGUGGCGGACGGGUGAGUAACACGUAGGUAACCUGCCCCGGAGCGGGGGAUAACAUUU
This 185-nucleotide ribosomal RNA is filed under the name Limosilactobacillus reuteri. RNAcentral describes it as "Lactobacillus reuteri partial 16S ribosomal RNA". It matches the Rfam family "Bacterial small subunit ribosomal RNA", at positions 1 to 151 of the family's 1533-position model. Lineage: Bacteria; Bacillati; Bacillota; Bacilli; Lactobacillales; Lactobacillaceae. The record is from RNAcentral.